RNAcentral lists this ribosomal RNA (517 nucleotides) under uncultured bacterium. RNAcentral's name for it is "bacterial SSU rRNA". It matches the Rfam family "Bacterial small subunit ribosomal RNA", at positions 28 to 349 of the family's 1533-position model. The record is from RNAcentral.
GACGAACGCUGGCGGCGUGCCUAACACAUGCAAGUCGAGCGGUAAGGCUCUCACAGUUUAUUCGACCAAGCCAGGUCGUGAAAUUUCUUUAGAAAUUUCACAUCAUUUACGAAGUAGGAACGACAAAGUCGUCACCGAUUGGGCAGAAGCAAUUAUAUUGCUACAACCUAAGAAGUAACGAUUGGCUAAUCGUUCUCGAAAAGUAAGGAAUGGUCUGGCAUUAAGGCUUCAGAAAUGAGGCUUGUGUCGAAUAAAGCGUGAGAGUACACGAGCGGCGGACGGCUGAGUAACGCGUAGGAACGUACCCCAAAGUGAGGGAUAAGCACCAGAAAUGGUGUCUAAUACCGCAAUGUGAUCUUCGGAUUUAAAGCUUUAUGCGCUUUUGGGAACGGCCUGCGUCUGAUUUAGUUGUUGGGUGAGGUAAUGGCUCACCAAGACUACGAUCGGGUAGGGGGCGUGAGUAGCGUGAACCCCCACACCGGGUACUGAGACACGGACCCCGACUCCCGUAGGGAGC